UGCCAGCAGCCGCGGUAAUACGGAGGGAGCGAGCGUUAAUCGGAAUUACUGGGCGUAAAGCGCGCGUAGGCGGCUUUGUAAGUCGGAUGUGAAAGCCCUGGGCUCAACCUGGGAAUGGCAUUCGAUACUGCAUGGCUAGAGUAUGGUAGAGGGAAGUGGAAUUUCCGGUGUAGCGGUGAAAUGCGUAGAUAUCGGAAGGAACACCAGUGGCGAAGGCGACUUCCUGGGUCAACACUGACGCUCAGGCACGAAAGCAUGGGGAGCAAACAGGAUUAGAUA
This 279-nucleotide ribosomal RNA is filed under the name uncultured bacterium. Its description in RNAcentral is "partial 16S ribosomal RNA". It matches the Rfam family "Bacterial small subunit ribosomal RNA", at positions 506 to 784 of the family's 1533-position model. The record is from RNAcentral.